This 652-nucleotide long non-coding RNA is filed under the name Rattus norvegicus (Norway rat). RNAcentral's name for it is "long non-coding RNA NONRATT025112". Lineage: Eukaryota; Metazoa; Chordata; Mammalia; Rodentia; Muridae. The record is from RNAcentral.
CCCUGAAAAAGGAGUUACAGAUGGCUGUGCGGCACCAUGUGGACACUGGGAAUCAAACUCAGGCCCUCUGGAAGAGCAUUAUUGGUCUUCACUGCAGAGCCAUCUCUCGAGCCUGAUCCCUGCAUAGUUUUAUAAUCCUGCUACAAGUCUGUAUUUGAGGUGAUCAGACUGGUAUCAAAUAACCACUAAAAAGGCUACUCUGUAGCUCAAGGUAGCUUUGAACUGGUGGCAACCCUUAGCUUCCCAAAUUCUGGGAUUGCAGAUAUGACCAACACCCAGAGUUGUGUUAGAUAGGACCAUGCCAUAGCCAGGGUAACCUGGGGUCCCUACCCUCACUCUUGAAAUAGUGAGGCUGAGCUUGAACUUGACAGUCUUCCGGCUCAGCUUCCUGAGUGCUCGGAUUACAGUCAUGUACCAUACACUCAGCUCAAGACUACAUGCUUGUCAAAUGCAGUAUACUUACACUGAAGCCUCUGGGCAUGUUCCAAAAAUUCACAAGGAUUCUUUUUCUUCCAGAGGACACCUAAACAUGAGUCAGAAUUGAUAAAAACGGGAAUAAACUACCUAACGACAGCUUCCAAAAAUGAGGCUUUCGUAUUAGGAGGCUUUUAAUAUCUUUAAGAAAAUAAAUUCUAAUUAAAGAUUUACCAAA